RNAcentral lists this ribosomal RNA (796 nucleotides) under uncultured bacterium. RNAcentral's name for it is "bacterial SSU rRNA". It matches the Rfam family "Bacterial small subunit ribosomal RNA", at positions 28 to 817 of the family's 1533-position model. The record is from RNAcentral.
AUUGAACGCUGGCGGAAUGCUUUACACAUGCAAGUCGAACGGCAGCACGGGUGCUUGCACCUGGUGGCGAGUGGCGAACGGGUGAGUAAUGCGUCGGAACGUACCGAGUAAUGGGGGAUAACGCAGCGAAAGUUGUGCUAAUACCGCAUACGCCCUGAGGGGGAAAGUGGGGGAUCGUAGGACCUCACGUUAUUCGAGCGGCCGACGUCUGAUUAGCUAGUUGGUGGGGUAAAGGCCUACCAAGGCGACGAUCAGUAGCGGGUCUGAGAGGAUGAUCCGCCACACUGGGACUGAGACACGGCCCAGACUCCUACGGGAGGCAGCAGUGGGGAAUUUUGGACAAUGGGGGCAACCCUGAUCCAGCCAUUCCGCGUGAGUGAAGAAGGCCUUCGGGUUGUAAAGCUCCUCCAGCUGGAACGAAACGGUACGCUCUAACAUAGCGUGCUAAUGACGGUACCAGCAGAAGAAGCACCGGCUAACUACGUGCCAGCAGCCGCGGUAAUACGUAGGGUGCGAGCGUUAAUCGGAAUUACUGGGUGUAAAGCGUGCGCAGGCGGAUUGUUAAGCAAGACGUGAAAUCCCCGGGCUUAACCUGGGAAUGGCGUUUUGAACUGGCAGUCUAGAGUGCGUCAGAGGGGGGUGGAAUUCCACGUGUAGCAGUGAAAUGCGUAGAGAUGUGGAGGAACACCGAUGGCGAAGGCAGCCCCCUGGGAUGACACUGACGCUCAUGUACGAAAGCGUGGGUAGCAAACAGGAUUAGAUACCCUGGUAGUCCACGCCCUAAACGAUGUCUACU